Molecule: non-coding RNA, 787 nt
Filed under: Arocatus melanocephalus
Lineage: Eukaryota; Metazoa; Arthropoda; Insecta; Hemiptera; Lygaeidae
Source: RNAcentral
GGAUUAUUUAGUUCUGUUAUAUUAAAUUAACUAUUAUUUUGGUUUUUAUAUGCGAGUUUUUGCGUUAUUAAUUAUUUCUAAAUGGAAGUGAUUAUUUAUAGCAGUUUUUAAUUUUAAUAUUUAAAUUUUUUUAGAUUUAGCUAAUUAUUUAGAAGUACAAAAAGUUGUGCCAGCAUGUGCGGUUAUACUUCUACUUCAAGUUAAUUUUUUUGAUUUUUAUUAAUUGUUUUAUUUUUGAAUUUAUUAAUUUUGAUAUUAGGUGAAAUUAUUAUUUUUAUAUUUGUGUUUUGGUUUUAUGAUUAAUGUUAAAAUCAGGUGUUAAACUAGGAUUAGAUACCCUAUUAUUCUGAUUGUGUUAUAUAUAAAAUAUAUUUAAGGUCUUAUUAUUAGUAGUUUAUUUCUUUAAAUUAAAAGGACUUGGCGGUAAUUUAAUCUUUUCAGAGGAAUCUGUCCUGUAAUUGAUAAUCCACGAUAUAUUUUACUUUAAUUUAAUUUGUAUACCUCUGUCAUUGAGUGUCUUAUUAGGGUAUUCUCUUAAAUUUUGUUUAUUUUAAUAAAUGUCAAGUCAAGGUGCAGUAAUAUUAUAGUUUGAGAUGGAUUACAUUUAAUAUUUAUUAUUGGUAUUUAAAAUUUAUAUUUUAUUUUAAAUUGGAUUUGAAAGUAAAUAUUAUUAUUUUAUAAUUUUGAUUUUAGCUCUAAAUUAUGUACAUAUCGCCCGUCACUCUCAUUUAUAAAGUGAGAUAAGUCGUAACAAAGUAAUUCUAUCGGAAGAUGGAAUUAGAUUAAU